Molecule: ribosomal RNA, 279 nt
Filed under: uncultured bacterium
Lineage: Bacteria
Description: partial 16S ribosomal RNA
Rfam family: Bacterial small subunit ribosomal RNA
Source: RNAcentral
UGCCAGCCGCCGCGGUAAUACGUAUGUCUCGAGCGUUACCCGGAAUCACUGGGUGUAAAGGGUUCGUAGGCGGCUUGGAAAGUUGGAUAUGAAAGACCGGAGCUCAACUCCGUGUUUGUGUUCAAAACUAACAAGCUAGAAUUAGGGAGAGGUUAGCGGAAUUCUAAGUGUAGGGGUGCAAUCCGUAGAUACUUAGAGGAACACCAAAAGCGAAGGCAGCUAACUGGAACUAUAUUGACGCUGAGGAACGAAAGCGUGGGGAGCGAAAAGGAUUAGAUA